Molecule: non-coding RNA, 140 nt
Organism: Pteropus alecto (black flying fox)
Lineage: Eukaryota; Metazoa; Chordata; Mammalia; Chiroptera; Pteropodidae
Source: Rfam
AGCUUUGCACAGUGGCCGUAUCAUAACCAAUGAGGUUUAUCCAAGGCAUGAUUACUGCUAAUUGAAAACUUUUCCCAAAUAUGUAUGUUUUAUGCAUUUUCUAUAUAUGUAUAAUAUAUAAUAGAAAUUACUUAAAAACA